This 443-nucleotide ribosomal RNA is filed under the name uncultured bacterium. Its description in RNAcentral is "bacterial SSU rRNA". It matches the Rfam family "Bacterial small subunit ribosomal RNA", at positions 29 to 517 of the family's 1533-position model. The record is from RNAcentral.
AACGAACGCUGGCGGCAGGCCUAACACAUGCAAGUCGAACGCCCUAGCAAUAGGGAGUGGCAGACGGGUGAGUAACACGUGGGAACCUUCCCUAUAGUACGGAAUAGCUCAGGGAAACUUGAAGUAAUACCGUAUACGCCCGAGAGGGGAAAGAUUUAUUGCUAUAGGAUGGGCCCGCGUCGGAUUAGCUAGUUGGUGAGGUAAUGGCUCACCAAGGCGACGAUCCGUAGCUGGUUUGAGAGAACGACCAGCCACACUGGGACUGAGACACGGCCCAGACUCCUACGGGAGGCAGCAGUGGGGAAUAUUGGACAAUGGGCGCAAGCCUGAUCCAGCCAUGCCGCGUGAGUGAUGAAGGCCUUAGGGUGUAAAGCUCUUUUAGCAGGGAAGAUAAAUGACUGUACCUGCAGAAUAAGCUCCGGCUAACUUCGUGCCAGCAGCCG